UUCUUAUCAAGAGAAGUCGAGGGAACGGCCCGAAGACACUUCAGCAACCCCGCGCGUAGCGGAAGGUGCUACUUCCUAAAAGGAAUUUUUCCUUUGAAGAUAAGAG
Molecule: regulatory RNA element, 106 nt
Rfam family: SAM riboswitch aptamer (S box leader)
About the family: The SAM riboswitch is found upstream of a number of genes which code for proteins involved in methionine or cysteine biosynthesis in Gram-positive bacteria. The SAM riboswitch acts at the level of transcription termination control.
Source: Rfam